RNAcentral lists this long non-coding RNA (5785 nucleotides) under Marmota monax (woodchuck). The record is from RNAcentral. Lineage: Eukaryota; Metazoa; Chordata; Mammalia; Rodentia; Sciuridae.
UCAAAAAGCGGGUGGAGCUAGGGAUGUGACUGAGUGGUAGAAUGCUUGCCUAGCAUUCAGGAAACCCUGAGUUUGAUCAUUGCAAAAAUAAAAUAAUAUUUAAAAAGCAGGGGGAGGGAGAAUGGAUAUUCACAGGCAAUUAGAUAACUCUGCCAUCAUAUAAAUCCUUCUUAAUCCUUUUCUAUAAAUUUAAAUAUUUAAAUUAUCUAUACAUAUAUAAAAAUGGUCUAACAUGUUAAAGGUACCUUGUUUUAAUUUACAUUUUAAAGGUUUAUCAACCAGCUUACAUACCCUCUGGAGAUGGAACCUAGAGGUGCUUUAUCACUGAGCUACAUCCCCAACCCUUUUAAUUUAUUUUAUUUUUAUUUUUCAUUUUGAGACAGGGUCUUGCUAAAUUGCUGAGGCUGGCUUUGAAGUAGUGAUCUUCUUGCCUCUCCGCCUCCUAAAUUGCCGGAAUUUCAGGGCUGUGCCACUGUGAUUGGCUUCCAUUAGAUAUUUGUUUAGUAAUUAUUGUGUUGUGUACACAUUUAAGCUCUUUGUUUAUUUAGCCAGUUAGAGCCUGCUUUCUUUUUUUCUUUUCUUUUCUUUCUUCUUCUUCUUUUUUUUUUUUUUUUAGUAUGAGGGAUUGAGCCCGGGGACACUUAACCACUGACCCACAUCCCUGGUCCUUUUAUUUUUGAUACAAGUUGCUAAGUCUGGCUUUGAAUUUGCGAUCCUCCUGCUUCAGCCUCCAGAGCCUCUAGAUACAGGCGUGUGCCACCGCACUGCCCGCUUGAUGAUUUCCUGAUCAAGUCAAAUGGACUGUCUAGAUAGAUUCAUUAAUUGAUAGGUAGAUGUUACAAAUAUAUUAACUCCUUGUCUUCCUUGCUGCAUAUAGUGCUUCUGAUAAGCUUCUCUUUUAUCUUUCAUGGAUUGUUCCUUUUCGGAAGUGAGUUUUCUACAAUGUUAACCAUAUUUAUAUAGUUGAGUGUUAUCUGUUGUCUGUGACUUUUUCUAUCAGUCCUAGUCUCAGGCAUAUUUGUUCCACCUCCAGGGAUAUGGUCAUUGUUUAAGUUUCCAUUCUCCUCCCAAGAGCGUCAGGAUAAGGUUGACAGUAGGUUCACCUAGAUCCAAAUCUCCACUCUGUCACUUCCCAUCUGCAUGAUUAGCUGGGAUACUCCCUUCUUCUGAGUUCCGAGUUUCCUGACUAGUGAAGGGGUGGGACGAGCCUUGGAUCCUCAAACUUGUCUAUGCAUCAGAACCACUCAGGCUCCAUAAAAUGCCCAUUCCUGCCUGCCCCCUGCCCUGCAUCUGUAGAAUCCAAAUCCCUAGACCCAGGAAUCUGUAUUUUUCAAAGGUCUCUAGUGAGUCCACUGCUCAGGCCUGUUUCAGAAUCACAGGACCAGCCUGGCUACCUGCACCCUGCUGAGUAGUCACUGAGGGAGCUGGGGGCAGCAGUCCUAGGCCACUGUGUCCCCCAGAGCCAGGUGGCCCUGCCUCUUCCUCUUGGUGGGGGCUCCCAUUUCACAUCCAGCCUGCACAGCAGCUUCUGCUCCCUGCUUCCUCAGGGCAGUAGAGAGGGGUGUUUAGGAUCCCGGAGAGCUGCCAUAGCCAUGCCUCUGGGAGGGGCCAGGGCCACCUACUAGUUGGGUGACCCAAGCUACUCACCCUGUGAGUCUCAAUUUCCUCCCUGUUGAAAGCAGAGACAGUUCCCUUCCUUCAAGGCUGUUGUAAGGUUGGCGAUGAUGGAUGGCUGGGCGAUGAUGGAUGGCUGGGCGGGAAGAGCCUAGAGCAGUUCCUGGCUCAAAAUGUGCUUGUGACACUUGUCGUGAGGAUUACUGUUGGUGUUGUCAUUGUGAUUUACAGCUGCAGGGGAGGAAAAAAGUGCACCUCGACUCUCAUGGGGUUUGUGGGUUGGGCCUGAGAAUUAAACUGAAGUACGACAGAUUGACAGGAGAAAACACAAAGGAACACAAGUUUAACUUGCACCAGGAAAUGGAGGCCAAAGGCCGAGAGCUGAACGCUGCCUGAACUGGACGAAGAGUAGUAAAUGAUGAAUGGGGCAAGGCAGAGGGGCUUGGGCAGUUAGUUGGGUGGAGAAGUGACUAGAAAGAUGAAGGUUUGUAUCCUUCUCCCUUGACCUCAACUUUCUAUCCUUGAUGACAAUGAUUUCUAGAAUAAAGAGGACCUCUUCCACAUGGGAGUGUCACUUACUGCCUUUUUUUUUGGGGGGGGGGUUCUGGGGCUUGAGCCCUAGGCCUGCUAGAAGGCACCCUACCACUGAGCCACACCCCCCACCCCAGCUUGUCAUCCUCUACUUUUAAGAAGAACAAGGAAGGUCAGGUCAGAGUGAUCUUCUUGCACCUGCAGUUUCUCAAGUGCCUUCACCUGAAAACAGUCAAUAUGCCAGAGAGGGAUAUUUUGGGGUGGCGUGUUCUUAACUGCUUCUCAGUGUCCUGGGCAUGUUUGCUCUAGGGAAUGAGCAUCCCCAACAGGAAUUUCCUGGUGCCUGACAAGACAGACAGAGACCUAUAAUUUCCCUGUGAUGUUGAAACUUGUCAGAAGGAAGCCCUGGGCUUCUGGAAAUUUUUCUCCCUGGCUCAGAGUAGAACUUGCAGCCUUCUGGGAGGCUGGGAGGGUGUUUGCCACGGUGCCAGCUAGCCACCUCCAGGCGACUGGCACCCACACUGUGUGACUCCUCAUACCAGUGCUCCUUGCCUUCCCUCAACAGGUCUGACAGGAAUGGCCCCUUUCCUCAGGUGGUUGAUCAAUCCAGGUAGGGACAUCCCCACUUGCCACCCAGACCCCUGAUCCCUGGGAUGCCCAUGAGUGUGCCUUGCUCUGCUUCUGGAUUAGGUCUCUCCUGGUGCCCUUCCUAGAACCUAGGGCCUUCUUACCUGCAUUCCUGCCAUUUUGACUCUGCCUGGGGCAACUGCCUGCCCUUGAACUUGACCAACUUACACAGGCCUCACAUCCUCUGCGGAGCUUUCUUACUGUAAUUAAGACCCCAGCGAGAGGCCAGAGCCCUUUAUUGAGGGUCUUAGCAGCAUCAAUGUGGUCUCAGCCACUUUAGAGCGUUGAGGAAGUUGUCAUGGAAACGCCCCUGCUCCUAGCCCCACCAAACAUGGACCCUUUAAUCUUCAUGAACAGCAAAAGAGCUAUGCAAAAUGUUGAACUGACAAUCCUAAUCUUGAGCAAGGUUGGGAGGUCCUGGGACAAUGUGGGGGUCCCACUCGUGCACCCCAGCUUGAGUGGUUGGACUGAGGCCGAAUUGAGAUCCCAGUUUUGCUGCCCAUUUGCUGCUAAUCCUCUUAGACUUAGCCUUUCUGUGCCUCAAUUUUUUAUCCUGAAAAAUGGGGAUGUUAAUAAUAUUCCCUAUGUGAUUGCUGUGAACAUUUAAGAAGUUAGUACUUUCCAGGAUCAGUGACGCAUGCCUCUAAUCCCAGCUAUUCAGGGAGUUGAGGCAAGAAGAACACAGGUUCAAGGCCAGCUGGGCAAUUUAGUGAGACCCUCUCUCAAAAUAAAAAGGGCUAAGGCUAUAGCUCAGAGGUAAAACUCUUCUGAGCUCAAUCCUGAGUACCACAAAAAAGGGAAAAAAGGAGGAAAAAGGUAUAACUCAUUAUUAAAACAAAGAAAAAUAGGUUAAGUUGGAUUUUGCCAAAAUUUUUAAAUUUUACAUGUUAAAGGACGCUGUCAAGAAAGUAAAAGAAGUCAGGCACGAUGGCACAUGCUUAUAAUUCCAGUUGUUUGGGAGGUUGAGGCAGAAGGAUCAAAAGCCUGAGGCCGGCCAGGGCAAUUUAGUGAUACCCGGUCGCAAAAUAAAGGAAAGGUCUGGGGAUAUAGCUCAGUGUUAGAGCACUUAACUAGCAUGUGCAAGGGCCUGGGUUAGAAAAGAGAAGAUAAAUUUACAGAAGAUAUUGCAAAUCACAUUUCUGAUAAGGGUUUACUAUCCACUAUAAAUAAAGAACUUCAGCUCUACAAUAAAGACAGUCCCAUUAAGAAACAAGCAAAGGUGUCAGGUGUUGUAGUACACCCCUGUAAUCCCAAAGACUCGGAGGCUGAGGCAAAAAGAUCACAAGUUUGAGGCCAGUCUCAGCAACUGAACGAGACCCUGUCUCAAAAUUUAAAAAAUAAAAAGGCUGGGGAUGUAGCUCAGUGGUAAAGUGCCCCUGGGUUCAAUUCCUGGUACCAAAAUAAAUAGAUGAGCAAAGGCUUUGAAUAGACAUUUCUAAUAAUAAACACAAAUGGCCAACAAACACAUGAAAAGAAGCUGAACAUCAUUAGCCAUGAAGGAAAUGUAACUCCAGACCAGAUAUUACUACACACUUAGGAUGGGCACAGUAUGGGUUUUUGUUUUGUUUCUUUUCUUUUCUUUUUUUGGUACCAGGGAUUGAACUCGGGGGCACUCAGCCCCUGAACCACAUCCCCAGCCCUUUUUUGUAUUUUAUUUAGAGACAGAAUCUCAUUGAGUUGCUUAGGGCCUUACUAAGUUGUUGAGGCUGGCUUUGAACUCAUGAUCCUCUUGUCUCAGCCUCCUGAGCCGCUGGGAUUAUGGGUGUGUGCAUCACCGUGCCCAGCUACAGUAUAUUUUUAAAGAAAAAGAAGUGCUGGCGAGUAUGUGGAGAAGUUGGAACCUGUGGAUGCUGCUGAUGGCAAUGUAAAUGGUGCCACCUGUGUGGAAGUCAGCCUUGUAGUUCCUCAAAAAAUUAAACCUAGAGUUACCAUGUAACCCGGCAACUCUAGUCCUGCACCCAAGAGAAUGAAAAACAUAUGGUCACACAAAGCCUUGUACACCAAUGUUCAUAGCAGUGUUCUUCGUAAUAGCCACAAAAUGGCAACAAUCCAGUGCCCACUGACUGAUGAGCGGGUAAAGAAAAUGUGGUCUAUCCAUGCUAUGGAAUAUUAUUCAGCAAUAAAAAGAAAUGAUGUCCAUACAAUGUGGAUGAACCUUGAAAACAUUAUGCUAAGUAAAACCAGGCACAGAAGGCUACUUAUUGUAUGAUUUCAUAGACACGAAAUGUCCAGAAAGAGACAGAAAGUAGAUUAGUGGUUUUCAGAGACUAGGAAGGAAGAAGGAAUUGGAAUGACUAAUGGGUAUAGGGUUUCUUUGAGGGUGAGGGAAGUGUUCUGGAAUUGGAUAGUGGUGAUGAUUGCACAACCUUGUGAAUACUCUAAAAAAAAAAAAACCUGAAUUGUACACUUUAAAGUGGUGGAGUCUGUGUUAUAUAAAAUUUUAUGCUAUGUGAAUUGUCUCAUUUGUUUAUAUAUUCAGCACUGGGGAUUGAACCCAGGGAUAUUUUACCACUGAGCUAUAUUCCCAGCCCUUUUUUAAAAAAAAUUUAUUUAUUUAGAGACAAAAAUCUCACUAAGUUGCUAAGGCUGGCCUCGAAUUUGUGGUCCUCCUGCCUCAGCCUCCUGAGUUGUUGCCACUAAGCCCAGCUAUCUUAACUUUUUUUAAAAAAAAUUGAAUCAGUACAAUAAAAUGUUCAGAAGGCUGCUCAGUUCACGUAAACCCUCAGUAGUUAGUUGCCAAUUUGAGGGUUGGUCCAGGUAACACAGAAAGGAAAAACAAUUCUAAAUGGAGCAUUGCCUUUAGAGAUUGAAUUCACAUAUUUAAUAUUGGUUGAAGAAUUAGCAUAUGAGGGGAGUGGGGAUAGUAGCGGAUAGGAAAGGUAGCAGAAUAUAACAGUCACUAAUAUGGCAUCAUGUAAAAAUUUGGAUGUGUAACCGAUGUGAUUCUGCAAUCUGUAUUUGGGGUAAAAAUGGGAGUUCAUAACCUACUUGAAUCUAAUGUGUGAAAUAUGAU